GGGCUUCUGAAGUAAAGCAGGAGAGGGAGAGAGAUGACAUUAUUUUUCUUUUGAAAUUGGUAUAGGGAGGCUAAGGAAGCAUCAAGUCUUCCAAAAACUUGAUAAACACACAUUUCAUGAAUUUAUUCAACCUUCUUUUAAAGCCAUCCAUGUUUGUGGCCAUCAGUAUAUCUUGAUGGAAUUCCAAAGGUUACAUUUUUACACAGUUCAAAUUCAAUCAUCUCUUACUUUCUUGCAGCUGUAAGAAAAUAGAAUAUAAUCCAUAUGAUAAUCCGUGAAUUUGUUUAUGCUAUUUUGUGAACUGGUGAACUAAGAAAAAAAAAUCCAGAUCUCUUACAAUGCAGAGCAACAUAAGAUCAUUCUUCCAGCCUCUGGCACGAGUAAAGUCUGAAAAAGAAAAAACAGAAGACAACCACUUGGAAGAUGUGCUUAUUUCACAAAAGAAAUUAGUAAAUGGUUCAGAACUCUGUGAAGACUUCGCAGUGAACUCUGCAUCAAAAAAAGCUAAGGUCCUUAAGAGUGAUGAUGAAGAAGAUUCUGUGGAAUUAGAUAGAAAGGGUGCACAAGCAGAUGACAACAAGUUGGUAAGUCUGUUCCUAUAACAUCUUAAUAUUUGAGAGAAUAAUGGAAAAC
RNAcentral lists this long non-coding RNA (633 nucleotides) under Notechis scutatus (mainland tiger snake). RNAcentral describes it as "lncRNA (ENSNSUG00000011993.1)". Lineage: Eukaryota; Metazoa; Chordata; Lepidosauria; Squamata; Elapidae. The record is from RNAcentral.